This 85-nucleotide transfer RNA is filed under the name Alphaproteobacteria bacterium. RNAcentral's name for it is "tRNA-Tyr". It matches the Rfam family "tRNA". Rfam says of the family: Transfer RNA (tRNA) molecules are approximately 80 nucleotides in length. Their secondary structure includes four short double-helical elements and three loops (D, anti-codon, and T loops). The record is from RNAcentral. Lineage: Bacteria; Pseudomonadati; Pseudomonadota; Alphaproteobacteria.
GGGAGUACGCCGGAGUUGGAGAGUCGGGACGGACUGUAAAUCCGUUGCUUUUGCUGAGUUGGUUCGAUUCCAUCUACUCCCACCA